This 587-nucleotide long non-coding RNA is filed under the name Rattus norvegicus (Norway rat). RNAcentral's name for it is "long non-coding RNA NONRATT032759". The record is from RNAcentral. Lineage: Eukaryota; Metazoa; Chordata; Mammalia; Rodentia; Muridae.
AUGGUUCAGUCCCCAAGCCCACUCCUUUCACCUCCCUCCUCCACAGAGUCAGCACUGCCCAAGUGUGCCUUGGCCUCAGAGGCAGUUGAACGAAUCCAGAUGGUAGAAAGCACCGUUCCCAGGAGGCGGCCGGCAGCUGCUGAAGGAUAUGGCCUUGGAGGGAGCCUUGUUUUGUCAUCAGUUCUCUUCCUGCUCUACCAUGGCUCUGUCUCUGCCUGUAUCACGGAGCAGGCCCAUCAUCAAUCAGGUCUGCUUACCAUGCCCCAAACUGAGCUUUUAUCAACCUACACACAUAGCCAAUAUCCUCCAAAUAUUAAAAUCUAACAUCUCGGGCUGGAGAGAUGGCUCAGCGGUAAAGAGCACUGACUGCUCUUCCAGAGGACCUGAGUUCAAAUCCCAGCAACCACAUGGUGGCUCCCAACCAUCUGUAAUGAGAUCCUAUGCCCUCUUCUGGUGUUUCUGAAGACAGCUACAGUGUACUUAUAGAUAAUAAAUAAAUAAAUAAAUCUUUUUUUUUUAAAAAAUCUAACAUCUCACGGUCUAUGAAAUAGAAUAAUUAUACUAAACUGUAAAUACCAGUUGAGGCC